GACAUUAAAUAUAAUCACUACAAAAAAAGUGUGGAUUUGCAACGGAACAGCAGUGGCGGUCUAUACACAACCGUCGCCGCUAUUCUAACUUUGGAGGUUUGCGGCCGUUUCCUUUGAACCGUCGUGGCUUAUAUCAUAUCAUAACCCGCUAGAAAUAUUCACUCCAUUCCCUCUUUGUUUUCAUUUCAUUUCAUCCUUAGAUUCAAACUUUCGAUUCCCUUUUGUUUUCAUUUCACUCACAAAAUCCUUCAGAUUCAAACUUCGUUCGUUGAGAUUCAAACCUCAGAUUCGUCUUUGUUCUUCGUUCGUUCAAUCGUCUUCACCCCAAGCUUCAGAUUCAAACCUCAGAUUCGUUCGUUCAACUUUGAUUCAGAAUUGUUCAACCCUAGUUUCAUUUCGCGAAAAGCUUCGAUAUGUUCAACUUCAAUUAAGAAUCGUUCAAUCUCAAUUCACUUCAACUCUCAUUCAGAAUCAUUCAACCUCCAUUCAUUUUCUCUGCAAAGCUUCGUUUCAGAAUCUCUCAAGCCUCACUUCAGUUUUGUCCAUCAUUCAAUUCAGAACCGUUGCUAAUGGUGUGGACAAAAAAGUGCCAGUGCUUUCAAAGCUUGGUUCAAGCUCCCUAACUAAGCUUCAUCAUAAAGUUGGAUCUCAAGGCGCAUCUAAGCCAACAAACAUGCCACCUACUCUUGUUAUGACAAGACUCAUUUUGAUUAUGGUGUGAAGACUCACUUGGUCUUUGAUCUCAUUCAAGUAUGCAAAAUGACUUGGACAAUGGAAAUCAAACAGAAGAAGAAUUGCAUGCUAGAAAAGUAUUUCAAAAUUACUAAAUUUACUCUUGAAGAACUUAUAUUAGUAUAUGUGUAAGUGAUUCAUAGCUGUGUGUUGAGCUCAAGUAAUUAUGUUUCCAGGAUGAUAUCUCAACAUCAAUUAUAUAUAUUUUAACUUUGAGAAUCUUUGAAAAGGUUGUACUUGAGCUUGUUCCAAGGGACUAUGAUAUGGAUACAACAUCUCCUUUACAAAAGUUAGAUAUUGUCAACAUGGUUUCGAUGAUUUUCUUUUAACCAAAUAAUCAUAGAUUCUCUAAUUUGAUCAUGGAUUCUAUUUCAGCUUCAGAACAGGGCAUAGAGAACAAUGUAAACAAUAAGCAAGUAGACAACCUAAUAGAGGUUAGAUCUUUGGUCAUGUCAGAUUUUUGUUUAUAAGGUCCUGUUGUUGAUUUUUGUUUAUAAAGAAAAUCUUUAUUUACUAAAUCAUUAAUCAACAAGAUAUAGAGAAAUUUAAUGAGGUAUGCCACAAUAGUUAUACCAUGGAACUACUGUUGUGAUCUAAGGAAAUUUGAUGUUUGAUUUGUGUUUUAUUUGAUUUAUGUGGUCAUCUUGGAGUUUUUGAGAUGUCUCAUUCAGGACUUGAUUUGUGUUUUAUUUGAUUUAUGUGGUCAUUGGAGAACCAGUCUGUCUUGUGGACAAUUCAAUAGAAGGAUAUGUUUCAUUAUGUUUUCCACCAUGCUAUCAUCAUUUAGUGAAAGGUGUCACAUCACAUUGCUUAGUUGCAAUGCAAUGUUGUGCCUUCAUUCUAAAUACAAAGAGACUUGCAGAAAUCAUGGUUUUUGUUUUAGACGUGGAGAGCAAACAAUGUACCAAUCUUCCUCAUUAUAGAUAAGAAAAUAUAUGGUCAAAUCCAGUUUUAAAGUCAGGUAGCUGAAGCUCUAUAUUAUCAAAUCAACCCUCCUGGUAAUUGUCCUCAUGAAGAAGUAGUCAGGUAUCCAAUUCCUCACUAUUUAGUUUGAAACUGUUCUGUCUGCCAUAAUAUUACGUGCACUUGUAGGUGUUCUUAGCUUUGUUUGGCUAAUUUAACUUUAAAUAUGUGUGUUUUUGUUGGAAUUGGGGGGUGUUUUUAUGAUUUGUUCAUUUUUCUGCCUUUAGGUAUCAAUCAUAGGAAAAAGGAUAUUCUGUUUUUAAUUUGUAUGAAUAAGUUGAUAUAGUUUAUCAUAAUAUAAGUAGUCAGUCUUUUUAAAAAAAAAUAUAAGUAGUCAGUCAAGCUUGUUUCUUGUAUUUGCAUGUCCUUGUUUCUUGUAUGCAUAUUUCUUGUAUAUGCAUGUUCUUGUAGAUAAAGAGUUGGUUUCAGACUAAGCUCCAAGACUCGCCACAAGUCCCUAAAAAUGAAUUGGUUUCUCCACAAGGCCCUCAAUGUAAGGAAGGUUUGUUUGAUCAAGAAAUAAAGAAAAUGAAGAUCAAGAACUGCUAUAUCCCUGUGUUAGAACAUUUGUGUUGUAUAAUUUGUUUUAAUUAGAUAUAGUUUAUAUUUAAUUAGACUUUUGUGUUGAACUUUGGUUGUAUAAUUUUAAUUAGUAUGUUUAAGCAUUAUUUUAAUUAAAGUUAUGCUUUUGUUGAUGAUUACUGUAAUGGAUUUUUAUCAAUUAAUUUAGUAGUUAUCAGUA
Trifolium pratense (red clover) is the source of this 2437-nucleotide long non-coding RNA. RefSeq lists it as uncharacterized. Lineage: Eukaryota; Viridiplantae; Streptophyta; Magnoliopsida; Fabales; Fabaceae. The record is from RefSeq and is a predicted model, not a curated record. The transcript is spliced from 5 exons.